RNAcentral lists this ribosomal RNA (465 nucleotides) under Vreelandella stevensii. Its description in RNAcentral is "partial 16S ribosomal RNA". It matches the Rfam family "Bacterial small subunit ribosomal RNA", at positions 338 to 795 of the family's 1533-position model. Lineage: Bacteria; Pseudomonadati; Pseudomonadota; Gammaproteobacteria; Oceanospirillales; Halomonadaceae. The record is from RNAcentral.
CCUAUGGGAGGCAGCAGUGGGGAAUAUUGGACAAUGGGCGAAAGCCUGAUCCAGCCAUGCCGCGUGUGUGAAGAAGGCCUUCGGGUUGUAAAGCACUUUCAGUGGGGAAGAAAGCCUUGGGGCUAAUACCCUCGAGGAAGGACAUCACCCACAGAAGAAGCACCGGCUAACUCCGUGCCAGCAGCCGCGGUAAUACGGAGGGUGCGAGCGUUAAUCGGAAUUACUGGGCGUAAAGCGCGCGUAGGCGGUCUGAUAAGCCGGUUGUGAAAGCCCCGGGCUCAACCUGGGAACGGCAUCCGGAACUGUCAGGCUAGAGUGCAGGAGAGGAAGGUAGAAUUCCCGGUGUAGCGGUGAAGUGCGUAGAGAUCGGGAGGAAUACCAGUGGCGAAGGCGGCCUUCUGGACUGACACUGACGCUGAGGUGCGAAAGCGUGGGUAGCAAACAGGAUUAGAUACCCGAGUAGUC